RNAcentral lists this ribosomal RNA (1479 nucleotides) under Mycoplasmopsis arginini. RNAcentral describes it as "Mycoplasma arginini partial 16S ribosomal RNA". It matches the Rfam family "Bacterial small subunit ribosomal RNA". Lineage: Bacteria; Bacillati; Mycoplasmatota; Mycoplasmoidales; Metamycoplasmataceae. The record is from RNAcentral.
UAGUUUGAUCCUGGCUCAGGAUGAACGCUGGCUGUGUGCCUAAUACAUGCAUGUCGAGCGAGGUUCUUUUGAACCUAGCGGCGAAUGGGUGAGUAACACGUGCUUAAUCUACCCUUUAGAUUGGAAUACCCAAUGGAAACAUUGGCUAAUGCCGGAUACGCAUGGAAUCGCAUGAUUCCGUUGUGAAAGGAGCCUUUAAAGCUCCGCUAGAGGAUGAGGGUGCGGAACAUUAGUUAGUUGGUAGGGUAAUGGCCUACCAAGACUAUGAUGUUUAGCCGGGUCGAGAGACUGAACGGCCACAUUGGGACUGAGAUACGGCCCAAACUCCUACGGGAGGCAGCAGUAGGGAAUAUUCCACAAUGAGCGAAAGCUUGAUGGAGCGACACAGCGUGCACGAUGAAGGUCUUCGGAUUGUAAAGUGCUGUUAUAGGGAAAGAACACCUGGUUGAGGAAAUGCUUCCAGGCUGACGGUACCCUGUCAGAAAGCGAUGGCUAACUAUGUGCCAGCAGCCGCGGUAAUACAUAGGUCGCAAGCGUUAUCCGGAAUUAUUGGGCGUAAAGCGUUCGUAGGCUGUUUAUUAAGUCUGGAGUCAAAUCCCAGGGCUCAACCCUGGCUCGCUUUGGAUACUGGUAAACUAGAGUUAGAUAGAGGUAAGCGGAAUUCCAUGUGAAGCGGUGAAAUGCGUAGAUAUAUGGAAGAACACCAAAGGCGAAGGCAGCUUACUGGGUCUAUACUGACGCUGAGGGACGAAAGCGUGGGGAGCAAACAGGAUUAGAUACCCUGGUAGUCCACGCCGUAAACGAUGAUCAUUAGUCGGUGGAGAGUUCACUGACGCAGCUAACGCAUUAAAUGAUCCGCCUGAGUAGUAUGCUCGCAAGAGUGAAACUUAAAGGAAUUGACGGGGACCCGCACAAGCGGUGGAGCAUGUGGUUUAAUUUGAAGAUACGCGGAGAACCUUACCCACUCUUGACAUCCUUCGCAAUGCUAUAGAGAUAUAGCGGAGGUUAACGGAGUGACAGAUGGUGCAUGGUUGUCGUCAGCUCGUGUCGUGAGAUGUUUGGUCAAGUCCUGCAACGAGCGCAACCCCUAUCUUUAGUUACUAACGAGUCAUGUCGAGGACUCUAGAGAUACUGCCUGGGUAACUGGGAGGAAGGUGGGGAUGACGUCAAAUCAUCAUGCCUCUUACGAGUGGGGCAACACACGUGCUACAAUGGUCGGUACAAAGAGAAGCAAUAUGGCGACAUGGAGCAAAUCUCAAAAAGCCGAUCUCAGUUCGGAUUGGAGUCUGCAAUUCGACUCCAUGAAGUCGGAAUCGCUAGUAAUCGCAGAUCAGCUACGCUGCGGUGAAUACGUUCUCGGGUCUUGUACACACCGCCCGUCACACCAUGGGAGCUGGUAAUACCCAAAGUCGGUUAGCUAACCUCGGAGGCGACCGCCUAAGGUAGGACUGGUGACUGGGGUGAAGUCGUAACAAGGUA